CCUACGGGGGGCAGCAGUAGGGAAUCUUGCACAAUGGGCGAAAGCCUGAUGGAGCAACGCCGCGUGGGUGAAGAAGGUCUUCGGAUCGUAAAACCCUGUUGUUAGAGAAGAAAGUGCGUGAGAGUAACUGUUCACGUAUCGACGGUAUCUAACCAGAAAGCCACGGCUAACUACGUGCCAGCAGCCGCGGUAAUACGUAGGUGGCAAGCGUUAUCCGGAUUUAUUGGGCGUAAAGGGAACGCAGGCGGUCUUUUAAGUCUGAUGUGAAAGCCUUCGGCUUAACCGGAGUAGUGCAUUGGAAACUGGGAGUCUUGAGUGCAGUAGAGGAGAGUGGAACUCCAUGUGUAGCGGUGAAAUGCGUAGAUAUAUGGAAGAACACCAGUGGCGAAAGCGGCUCUCUGGUCUGUAACUGACGCUGAGGUUCGAAAGCGUGGGUAGCAAACAGGAUUAGAUACCCCUGUAGUC
This 465-nucleotide ribosomal RNA is filed under the name uncultured bacterium. Its description in RNAcentral is "partial 16S ribosomal RNA". It matches the Rfam family "Bacterial small subunit ribosomal RNA", at positions 338 to 795 of the family's 1533-position model. The record is from RNAcentral.